UGGGGAAUUUUGGACAAUGGGCGAAAGCCUGAUCCAGCAAUGCCGCGUGUGUGAAGAAGGCCUUCGGGUUGUAAAGCACUUUUGUCCGGAAAGAAAUCCUUGGCUCUAAUACAGUCGGGGGAUGACGGUACCGGAAGAAUAAGCACCGGCUAACUACGUGCCAGCAGCCGCGGUAAUACGUAGGGUGCAAGCGUUAAUCGGAAUUACUGGGCGUAAAGCGUGCGCAGGCGGUUUUGCUAAGACCGAUGUGAAAUCCCCGGGCUCAACCUGGGAACUGCAUUGGGUGACUGGCAGGCUAGAGUAUGGCAGAGGGGGGUUAGAAUUCCACGUGUAGCAGUGAAAUGCGUAGAGAUGUGGAGGAAUACCGAUGGCGAAGGCAGCCCCC
This 385-nucleotide ribosomal RNA is filed under the name uncultured bacterium. RNAcentral's name for it is "partial 16S ribosomal RNA". It matches the Rfam family "Bacterial small subunit ribosomal RNA", at positions 355 to 729 of the family's 1533-position model. The record is from RNAcentral.